UUAAGUGAAUAAGGGCGCACGGUGGAUGCCUUGGCACUAGGAGCCGAUGAAGGACGGGACUAACACCGAUAUGCUUUGGGGAGCUGUACGUAAGCUAUGAUCCAGAGAUUUCCGAAUGGGGGAACCCAGCAUCUUUAAUAGGAUGUUACGAUUGUGUGAAUACAUAGCACAUUCGAGGUAGACGCAGAGAACUGAAACAUCUAAGUACCUGCAGGAAGAGAAAGAAAAUUCGAUUCCCUGAGUAGCGGCGAGCGAAACGGGAAAAGCCCAAACCAGCAAGCUUGCUUGUUGGGGUUGUAGGACUCCAAUAUGGUAGUUCUUUCAGAUAGUCGAAUGACUUGGAAAAGUCAGUCAAAGAGGGUAAAAACCCCGUAGACGAAAUGUGGAAGACACCUAGGAGGAUCCUGAGUACGGCGGAACACGAGAAAUUCCGUCGGAAUCCGGGAGGACCAUCUCCCAAGGCUAAAUACUCCCUAGUGACCGAUAGUGAACCAGUACCGUGAGGGAAAGGUGAAAAGCACCCCGGAAGGGGAGUGAAAUAGAACCUGAAACCGUGUGCCUACAACAAGUCAAAGCCCGUUAAUGGGUGAUGGCGUGCCUUUUGUAGAAUGAACCGGCGAGUUACGAUUGCAUGCGAGGUUAAGUUGAAGAGACGGAGCCGCAGCGAAAGCGAGUCUGAAUAGGGCGUUUGAGUAUGUAGUCGUAGACCCGAAACCAUGUGAUCUACCCAUGUCCAGGUUGAAGGUGCGGUAAAACGCACUGGAGGACCGAACCCACGUACGUUGAAAAGUGCGGGGAUGAGGUGUGGGUAGCGGAGAAAUUCCAAACGAACUUGGAGAUAGCUGGUUCUCUCCGAAAUAGCUUUAGGGCUAGCCUCGGAAUUGAGAAUGAUGGAGGUAGAGCACUGUUUGGACUAGGGGCCCAUCUCGGGUUACCGAAUUCAGAUAAACUCCGAAUGCCAUUCAUUCAUAUCCGGGAGUCAGACUGUGAGUGAUAAGAUCCAUAGUCGAAAGGGAAACAGCCCAGACCACCAGCUAAGGUCCCAAAAUAUAUGUUAAGUGGAAAAGGAUGUGGGGUUGCACAGACAACUAGGAUGUUGGCUUAGAAGCAGCCAUCAUUUAAAGAGUGCGUAAUAGCUCACUAGUCGAGUGACCCUGCGCCGAAAAUGUACCGGGGCUAAACAUAUUACCGAAGCUGUGGAGUACACCUUUAGGUGUAUUGGUAGGAGAGCGUUCUAAGGGCGUUGAAGGCAGAUCGUGAGGACUGCUGGAGCGCUUAGAAGUGAGAAUGCCGGUAUGAGUAGCGAAAGACAGGUGAGAAUCCUGUCCACCGAAUGACUAAGGUUUCCUGGGGAAGGCUCGUCCGCCCAGGGUUAGUCGGGACCUAAGCCGAGGCCGACAGGCGUAGGCGAUGGAUAACAGGUUGAUAUUCCUGUACCCGUUGUUUUUGUUUGAGCAAUGGAGGGACGCAGGAGGCUAAGGAAUGCAGACGAUCGGAAAUGUCUGUCCAAGCAGUAAGUCUGAAGAGGAGUCAAAUGCUUCUUUUCUUAAGGACAAGCUGUGAUGGGGAGGGAAAUAAUAGUACCGAAGUUCCUGAUGUCACACUGCCGAGAAAAGCUUCUAGUGAGAAAACAGCGGCCCGUACCGCAAACCGACACAGGUAGUCGAGGAGAGAAUCCUAAGGUGAGCGAGAGAACUCUCGUUAAGGAACUCGGCAAAAUGACCCCGUAACUUCGGGAGAAGGGGUGCUGAUCAUACGAUCAGCCGCAGUGAAUAGGCCCAAGCGACUGUUUAUCAAAAACACAGGUCUCUGCAAAAUCGUAAGAUGAAGUAUAGGGGCUGACGCCUGCCCGGUGCUGGAAGGUUAAGAGGAGUGCUUAGCGCAAGCGAAGGUACGAAUUGAAGCCCCAGUAAACGGCGGCCGUAACUAUAACGGUCCUAAGGUAGCGAAAUUCCUUGUCGGGUAAGUUCCGACCCGCACGAAAGGCGUAACGAUUUGGGCACUGUCUCAACGAGAGACUCGGUGAAAUUUUAGUACCUGUGAAGAUGCAGGUUACCCGCGACAGGACGGAAAGACCCCAUGGAGCUUUACUGUAGUUUGAUAUUGAGUGUCUGUACCGCAUGUACAGGAUAGGUAGGAGCCGUAGAAAUCGGAACGCUAGUUUCGAUGGAGGCGCUGGUGGGAUACUACCCCUGCGUUAUGGCCACUCUAACCCGCACCACUAAUCGUGGUGGGAGACAGUGUCAGAUGGGCAGUUUGACUGGGGCGGUCGCCUCCUAAAAGGUAACGGAGGCGCCCAAAGGUUCCCUCAGAAUGGUUGGAAAUCAUUCGAAGAGUGUAAAGGCAGAAGGGAGCUUGACUGCGAGACCAACAAGUCGAGCAGGGACGAAAGUCGGGCUUAGUGAUCCGGUGGUUCCGCAUGGAAGGGCCAUCGCUCAACGGAUAAAAGCUACCCUGGGGAUAACAGGCUUAUCUCCCCCAAGAGUCCACAUCGACGGGGAGGUUUGGCACCUCGAUGUCGGCUCGUCGCAUCCUGGGGCUGUAGUCGGUCCCAAGGGUUGGGCUGUUCGCCCAUUAAAGCGGCACGCGAGCUGGGUUCAGAACGUCGUGAGACAGUUCGGUCCCUAUCCGUCGCGGGCGUUGGAAAUUUGAGAGGAGCUGUCCUUAGUACGAGAGGACCGGGAUGGACUUACCGCUGGUGUACCAGUUGUUCUGCCAAGGGCAUUGCUGGGUAGCUAUGUAGGGAAGGGAUAAACGCUGAAAGCAUCUAAGUGUGAAGCCCACCUCAAGAUGAGAUUUCCCAUUUCUUUAAGAAAGUAAGAUCCCUGAGAGAUGAUCAGGUAGAUAGGUCAGGAGUGGAAGUACAGUGAUGUAUG
This 2876-nucleotide ribosomal RNA is filed under the name Enterococcus faecium. Its description in RNAcentral is "bacterial LSU rRNA". It matches the Rfam family "Bacterial large subunit ribosomal RNA". Lineage: Bacteria; Bacillati; Bacillota; Bacilli; Lactobacillales; Enterococcaceae. The record is from RNAcentral.